AAAUGCUCUGGCCUCCUUCCUCUUAAACGCAGCUCACCUUUCACCGUCUCCUGGGGAGUGGAACUCUCUCCUUCCUGCCCCCUCACUUACCAGCUUUUACUAGCCCCCUCCACCCCCUCACAGUCUCUCCCAGGUCAGGUCAUGUUCCCUGGGACACACUCUCCUUUGCCCUCUCCACCCUCAAAACAUCUACAUGGCAACGAGCUAUUCAUGCUGUCUUCUCCACCAGAAAGAAGAAAGAUGCCCUUGGCUCUAGCGGGAUGGAGAACAGAGGCGGCAAAGCCAGCAAGAAGGUUUGGCAGCGUCCCAGGAGAGGUUGGACCAGCACAGCGGUAGAGGAGACGGAAGUGAUGUAGAAGAGCUGGACUGGGCAGACUUUGCAGACCAAUCAGACACCAGCUGGGGCUGGACACAGACCACAGGCCAGCAGGGAACCGACAGUCAUCUCCUCGCUGUGAAGCCAGGACUCAAGUUUUGCUCCAGCCUGGAGUCAGGCGUCCUGGAGCCCACCUGGACCCCGCCUGGACGGCGUCCCCAAGGCCUUUCUGAUGGAGGCGAGGAGUGUGUCCACCAGGUCCACCACCCCCACCUCCGCUUCGGCACAGGAACAAACUGAGCCCGGGGUGCAGCUGAGACCUGACGAAAGUGACACAGUGGGUUGGUGGCAGGGGUCGCAUCCAGGCCCAGCUCUUCUGACUUCACGUUGCUGGGAGGUUCAGGAUAAAUGCAGGCGUGAAUAAACAAAUGUAUGAAAAUCCUGAUGCCUAUGCCCCUGCCACAGUAACAGGGGAAAUUAAGAAUCCAUUAGACAGCUCUUCAUGAGGACUCUAGAGGACCAGGACACCAGAAAGAAGGAAGAGGGUCUGGCAGUGCCCACACCAUGCCAGUUCUUGGAGUGGGGGCAUCCCUAGAACUUAUUUACCUCUUCUGGGAUGGGAGUGGUGAGGGAACGCUUUCCUUCAUUUAGUUAACAGAAGUUUAUUGGGGGAAUGUCAAAUGCUGGGGGCUUCCCAGGUGGCGCUAAUGGUAAAGAAUCCUCCUGCCAAAACAGAAGACAUGGGUUCGAUCCCUGGGUCGGGAAGAUCCCCUGGAGGAGCAAGUGGCAACCCACUCCAGUGUUCUUGCCUGGAAAAUUCCAUGGACAGAGGAGUCUGAGGGGCUACAGUCCACGGGGCCCCAAAGAGUCAGACACGACUGAUCAACCGAGCACACACCUAUCAGCAUUUGCUGCCGUGAAAUUUGCCCAGCAAACCCCUCAGAUAAGGUCCCUGCACUUGUGGGCGAGACAAUCAAAUGACAAGCCAGCAAAGGAAUGCGGGAUGGCCAACAGCAACACCCGUGUGACAGGAGCAAACGGGGCUGGGAGGCACUUGACAGAAAGGAGGGUUUGGAGGCCUUUGCCUCUCUGAAGAGGUGACAUUUAGGCUGAGCCCACGGAAAGAGAAGGAACCAGCCUGGUGGAGCUCUGGAGAAAGGGCUGUUCCAGGCGGAGGAAACAGCAGGUGCAAAGGCCCUGAGGUCAGCAUGAUCUCAGCAUUGUCACCAAAAAAGAUAAAAGGCCACGACAGGCGGCUGCAGCUCCGUGAGGGAGCAGGGCCGGGGGUACCAAGAAGGUCUGUGAUGCGGGCCAGGCCACACAGGGUUUUGUGACCAGGGUGUGAAGCUUGGGUCUUAUUCUGAAAGCACCAGGGAUCCAGGGAAAGGUUAUAAAGCAGGAGGGUUGAUGGGAUCCAGUUUAUGUGUUAGGAACAUAUUUUACUCUGAAUGGGCUUCCCCGGUGGCUCAGACGGUAAAGACUCCACCUGCAAUGCAGGAGGCCCGGGUUAGAUCCCUGGGUCAGGAAGAUGCCCUGGAGAAGGGAAUAGCUACCCAUUCCAGUAUUCUUGCCUGGAGAAUCCCAUGGACAGAGGAGCCUGGCCGGCUACAGUCCAUGGGGUCGCAAAGAGUCAGACGUGACUGAGCGACUAACACUUGUACUUUCAACUCUUUACUCUGAAUAAAGGGUGGAUGGGGACGAGACGGGAGAGAGGCGGGCAGCAGGGAGACUGGCCAGGAGGCUGUGCAAUGAUCAGCAUGAGCGAUGCUGUCACCCGGAGGGAGGCAGUGCGGACGGGAAAAGAAGCGGGCUGCCUGAAGAGAGCUAUAGGGAACAGGAGUGCCAGAGCUGCUGAAGGAGUUGAUGACUGAGAGAGGGAGAGACAAGGCUGCUUUCUGGCUUUAGCGACCGGACAGAUGGCGUUUCGUAAGCCUCGGGGAGAGUGAAAUGAAGUGCUUGGCUUCAGACAAGCUAAGUUAGAGACGCCUUUAGACAUCCAAGGGAGAUGUGAAGGAGACAGCUGGAUGUUCACAGCAAUGACAAGAAUCCUGAUACUCAUACAUGGUGGUCCUCCAGGAGUCCCUCCCAUCUCCGAGCAGCCUCCGCUUGGUCCAGCAGACACGUGCCACCUGUUCUCCACAUCGAAGGCCCGUGGCCCAGGCUUGGAACAACUUCCCUCGGUUGGGCAAGGCUGUGACAGGAAAGGGACAAGACCUGACCCCUGCUUGGAAAGCCAGUUGUGCAACACAGCCCUGUGAGGGCAGGCACGUGACCAACAGGAACAGCCGCCGGAAGGAGCCAGGGCCUUCUCUGAAAUGAAUAUCUUGGCAAGAUCGACGGAGAAAAGGUCCUUUUGGACGCCACUGACUCUGGGUCACAGCUAAUGCCUUCAGAGCCUGGCCGUGGCGCCGUGUCCCGGCCGCGUCCCCGAACACGGAGCCUUGCUGGCUCACUGUCACAUGGGACGUGGGGAGCUGCAGGAACGUACAAUAUAAGCUACCCUUCCGGCUUCUGCACACCCAAACCUCUUGUUUGUACUUACAGGCAGUCUAAACCUGCAGUACAUUCCUCUGGGCAUCCUCUCCCAAGGCAAGCGAGCAGCAUAUUUUUAGUAACAAAUGAAAGUCUUUUGUAUCAAGCCUAAUAGAUAAAGUAGAUGAUGUCUUCGGAUGCUAGCCGGGGUGGAAGUAGGUAUAGAAGAGAGUUUAAUGGUGAAACAGAUUCUUUUUUUUUUUUUCCUUAUAAUGUAAGGUGUUUCUGAAGAUGAUGAAAUAUUGACAUCAUUGUUUGGAAUAAGUGCAUGAUAAUGGCUAUGUGUAUUAGACACCUAUCUACCAUGUUCCAGAAACAGGGCUCAGAAUCAGAUUUUUUUUUUAAAACUUCUUUCAGUGAUUAAAGGCAUUAAACUAUUCUUUUCCCCCUCGAAUCCAUUCUUGCUGUUUUUUCCUUUCAGAGAGCUUUUUGUAUGCAAACGUUCUCUGUACUGGCACAAAGUUGUU
Long non-coding RNA from Bubalus bubalis (water buffalo), 3315 nucleotides. RefSeq lists it as uncharacterized. NCBI's taxonomy places the organism in Eukaryota, Metazoa, Chordata, Mammalia, Artiodactyla, Bovidae. The transcript is spliced from 4 exons. The record is from RefSeq and is a predicted model, not a curated record.